ACGAACGCUGGCGGCGUGCUUAACACAUGCAAGUCGAACGGAAAGGCCCUGCUUUUGUGGGGUGCUCGAGUGGCGAACGGGUGAGUAACACGUGAGUAACCUGCCCUUGACUUUGGGAUAACUUCAGGAAACUGGGGCUAAUACCGGAUAGGAGCUCCUGCUGCAUGGUGGGGGUUGGAAAGUUUCGGCGGUUGGGGAUGGACUCGCGGCUUAUCAGCUUGUUGGUGGGGUAGUGGCUUACCAAGGCUUUGACGGGUAGCCGGCCUGAGAGGGUGACCGGCCACAUUGGGACUGAGAUACGGCCCAGACUCCUACGGGAGGCAGCAGUGGGGAAUAUUGCACAAUGGGCGGAAGCCUGAUGCAGCAACGCCGCGUGCGGGAUGACAGCCUUCGGGUUGUAAACCGCUUUCGCCUGUGACGAAGCGUGAGUGACGGUAAUGGGUAAAGAAGCACCGGCUAACUACGUG
Molecule: ribosomal RNA, 467 nt
Filed under: uncultured bacterium
Lineage: Bacteria
Description: partial 16S ribosomal RNA
Rfam family: Bacterial small subunit ribosomal RNA
Source: RNAcentral